Molecule: non-coding RNA, 74 nt
Organism: Potamilus streckersoni
Lineage: Eukaryota; Metazoa; Mollusca; Bivalvia; Unionida; Unionidae
Source: the annotation of a GenBank genome assembly
CACUCCGGUAGCCUAAUGGUUAUAGCGUUCGCAUCGGAUGCGGGAGGUCGUGGGUUCAAUCUCCGGUCGAGUCA